RNAcentral lists this ribosomal RNA (275 nucleotides) under uncultured bacterium. RNAcentral's name for it is "partial 16S ribosomal RNA". It matches the Rfam family "Bacterial small subunit ribosomal RNA", at positions 399 to 691 of the family's 1533-position model. The record is from RNAcentral.
GCGUGAAUGAUGAAGGCCCUAGGGUUGUAAAGUUCUUUCACCUGUGAAGAUUAUGACGGUAGCAGGAGAAGAAGUUCCGGCUAACUCCGUGCCAGCAGCCGCGGUAAGACGGAGGGAGCUAGCGUUGUUCGGAAUGACUGGGCGUAAAGGGCGCGUAGGCGGUUUUUUAAGUGAGGCGUGAAAGCCCUGGGCUUAACCCAGGAGGUGCGCUUCAGACUGGAAGGCUUGAGGACGAGAGAGGAAAGUGGAAUUCCUAGUGUAGAGGUGAAAUUCGU